Molecule: transfer RNA, 66 nt
Filed under: Ranacris albicornis
Lineage: Eukaryota; Metazoa; Arthropoda; Insecta; Orthoptera; Acrididae
Description: tRNA-Arg
Source: RNAcentral
GAUUAAGAAGCGAAUAAUUGCAUUCAAUUUCGACCUGAAAGACUGGUAAAUAUCUACCCUUAAUCU